AGUGAACGCUGGCGGUAGGCCUAACACAUGCAAGUCGAACGGCAGCACAGUAAGAGCUUGCUCUUACGGGUGGCGAGUGGCGGACGGGUGAGGAAUACAUCGGAAUCUACUUUUUCGUGGGGGAUAACGUAGGGAAACUUACGCUAAUACCGCAUACGACCUACGGGUGAAAGCAGGGGAUCUUCGGACCUUGCGCGAUUGAAUGAGCCGAUGUCGGAUUAGCUAGUUGGCGGGGUAAAGGCCCACCAAGGCGACGAUCCGUAGCUGGUCUGAGAGGAUGGGGAGCCACAAGGGAACUGAGAAACGGUCCAGACUCCAACGGGAGGAAGCAGGGGGGAAUCUGGGACAAGGGGCGAAAGCCUGACCCAGCCAUACCGCGGGGGAGAAGAGGGCCGUCGGGUGCUAAAGCCUUUUUGUGGGGAAAAAAAAAAGGCGGAUGAAAACCCCGCGGUCCUGACGGUACCAAAAAAAAAAGAACCGGAAAACUAGGUC
This 492-nucleotide ribosomal RNA is filed under the name uncultured bacterium. Its description in RNAcentral is "partial 16S ribosomal RNA". It matches the Rfam family "Bacterial small subunit ribosomal RNA", at positions 29 to 507 of the family's 1533-position model. The record is from RNAcentral.